Molecule: transfer-messenger RNA, 353 nt
Filed under: Nitrospiraceae bacterium
Lineage: Bacteria; Pseudomonadati; Nitrospirota; Nitrospiria; Nitrospirales; Nitrospiraceae
Rfam family: transfer-messenger RNA
About the family: Bacterial tmRNA, also known as 10Sa RNA or SsrA, is named for its dual tRNA and mRNA-like properties. Its role is to liberate the mRNA from a stalled ribosome.
Source: RNAcentral
GGGGGCGAAAUGGUCUCGACGGGGAUAGUGGAGUGUGGGUUGCGUGCCGAGAUCGCCAUGAGCUCGUAAAAACUAUGGCAAAUCAAGAAGUGUCGACGAACCAGUCGCACUGGCUGCUUAACUAGCAGCUCGUUCUCCGCGGUUUGAGCCUUCAGGGGCUGCGUGAGAGCGUCAUUCACUGGAGGAUAGCCGGCGAUGAGUGUCUCGGCGCCGCCGGUGAAAUCAAGGGGCGGGCCCUUCGCGAUCCGGUCCGCGGGGAGCGCGCGGGGUGGGACCAAAACUGCAGACUACGCACGUAGAGACCUGCAUGGAUCUGUCUUCGGACGCGGGUUCGAUUCCCGCCGCCUCCACCA